This 1131-nucleotide long non-coding RNA is filed under the name Marmota monax (woodchuck). The record is from RNAcentral. Lineage: Eukaryota; Metazoa; Chordata; Mammalia; Rodentia; Sciuridae.
GGAAAUGGGAGAAAUUUGCAUCCUCUUGCCACUAGAUGGCAACAUCUGAGCGUGAAGUCCCAGCUGAGUACUGAGAGUACUGGGAUUCAAGAGUGUUCCUGGGAUUGCUCUGGAAGGUCUCAGCAAGUCACCUAGCCAGCCAGAAAGCUAGCUGGUUCCCCAAUCCUAAAAAAAUCAAGGUUAAAGCUCCUAUUCAAUUCUCUCAAGUGCAGUGCCCCUCCCCUGCUUAAAAAAUUAGCAAUGGCUCUCUCCUGCUAAAGAGGCUAAUAACAUUACCUGUUGUCCCCACAUUUGGAUUCAACCCUGAUUUAUUGACAUUUUAUGUGCCCUGCAGUAUGUGUAGAGCAGAUCAGUGGCCUGAUAUGGGGGUACUACCACAUUAAGUCUAAUGCGGACAGGCCACCCCAAUCACACAGAGUCCCUGGCUUCCCUCUCCCAACCCCAAUUCAUUCCUUGCUUAGCCUUAACCAUGUUUUUACCUUUCCUGACCACCAUCAGACAUAUUUCACCCAUGCUUCUUUUCUCCAAGCGGGGAGCAACAUAUAUGUUCCUCCCUGCUCUUUCUGCUUUGGGGAAUGUCCCCUGAGCUCAUGUGGUCUCUGGGUAGAACUCAAGGUGCAUGCCCAGAGGCACCGAGGUCAGCAGAGUUCAUUGCAACAUUCACUUAUCCAUUGAUGCUUCCAAUACCCAUUCACUGAGCAGCUCACAGUUCAGACACUGUACCACAUCCAUGUGACUAAGGUCUGAUUCAUGUCUUCCACAAGCAAACCAGUGAGGCAGAGGGAGCUGUAGAGAGAUUUCAGCCUGAACAUAAGCAUUGGAUUGCAUACACCUGCUAGGUGAAGUUGGGGUGACACAGAGGGAGGGGGCACUGCCCCAUCCAGGACAUGGCAAAGGGGCAGAAGUUAGGAGAAGCCAAAUGUCAGCUUCUGGUCUUGGUCUCAUGUGGGUAAACUAGGAUCUAGCUCUAGUUUCCCAUCUGGGUCAUCUAAGAUCUAGCUGUGGAUAUGGGUCAUGUAGCCAUAGCCACUUUGGUUCUAAGCUUCAGGUCUUUGAGUUAGACAAAAAGGUUCAAUCCUGAGCUGGUGAAGUCUUUAGGUUCCUUCUGGAGCUGGGAAGCCAAGAUCUUAU